Long non-coding RNA from Oncorhynchus tshawytscha (Chinook salmon), 2166 nucleotides. Lineage: Eukaryota; Metazoa; Chordata; Actinopteri; Salmoniformes; Salmonidae. The record is from Ensembl.
UCUCUUCAUCACACACACACACACACACACACCUUCUCUUCAUCACAAACACAUACACACACCUUCUCUUCAUCAGCAGGCCUGGCCGGCAGCUGAGGUGCCAAAGCUGAGCGGGCUGGGCGGGCACUGCUGUCGCACGGCACUCUGGGUAGUGGGCACUCCUCCUGAUACCCACACCCACGCACAUCUCCUGCAGUCCCAGGUGCUGAUGAUCAUACGCUGGUAUUGGUAGCAUGGAUGAGAUCAGGCCCUGUGGUGGAGAGUGAGGGUAGCAGAGCACAGGUCAAUCUGGCAGUGACUUCAGGGUACAGUGAAGUUCCCCCCUCCCACCUGGCUGUGACUGUGUCGAGGGCCACUGGCCUCAGAGCUAAGGCCUUCCAACGGGGCAGCAACCCUUACGCUAUCCUCCAGCUGGGGCAGAGGAGAAUCACCACCCCUGUCAUCCACGAUACCCUGAUCCCCCCACUGGUACUGUGAGCUCACCUUCCCCCUGCCCUCCUCGGCCCCCUGGGAUGCCACCGCCUCAGCCCUGACCCUGACCAUCCACCACCAACGCUCCCUACUGGCUAUGCCUGAUAGGUUCCUGGGAACUGUGAGCUCACCUUCCCCCUGCCCUCCUCGGCCCCCUGGGAUGCCACCGCCUCAGCCCUGACCCUGACCAUCCACCACCAACGCUCCCUACUGGCUAUGCCUGAUAGGUUCCUGGGUACUGUGAGCUCACCUUCCCCCUGCCCUCCUCGGCCCCCUGGGAUGCCACCGCCUCAGCCCUGACCCUGUCCAUCCACCACUGACGCUCCCUACUGGCUCUACCUGAUAAGUUCCUGGGUACUGUGAGCUUCAGGCUGGAGGAUGUUGUCAAGAAGCAGGAUGGGAGCAAAGGUUACGUUGAGGAAAACUGAUUCCCACUGAUGUAAUGUAAAUAUAUGCCAUUUAGCAGACUCUUUUAUCCAAAGCGACUUACAGUCAUGAAUCAAUGCAUAAAUUAUCUACAUAUGGGUGGUCCCGGGAAUCGCACCCACUGUCCUAGCAUUGCAAGAGCCAUAUUCUACCAACUGAGUUACAGAGGACCAGUAAUAUAUGAAAUGUAAUGUACAGGAUGUACUGUAUAUGAUGUAAUGUACAGGAUGAUGUAAUAUGAUGUAAUGUACAGGAUGAUGUAAUGUACAGGAUGUAAUUAAAUUCUGAGCCGAGGAAGAAGCCAAAUAAGCGUGAGGACGUGGAAGUAUCUUUCAGGCUGUAUAGAGAUCCUAGGAGCCUUCCAUCCCACUGCCGACCUCUCACCCAGACCCAACCUCUCACCAAGACCCACUCACAACCUUCUCUCCUACUCCAGAAGCCUCUCCCAAACCUCCAACCUUCCAUCCCACUGCCAACCUCUCACCCAGACCCAACCUUCUCUCCUACUCCAGAAGCCUCUCCCAAACCUCCAGCCUUCCCUCCCAAACCCCCACCAAGCCUCCUCCAUCUGCACAAAGAGCCACAUCAGCUGGGAGAGUGACACACACCUCACCACCUUCUGUUCAGCUGGUGGUAAAGCAUCGGGAGCCAAUCCAUCCAUCUUAUGGAGAGGAGAAUUCUGGAGUGCUGGACUCAAUUCCACCACCAUCUGCACCAGUGAGCCCUCAGGAGUCAGCAGACAGCCCAGACUGCGUCACUGCUGCUGAUUUUAGAAAUACCUUCAGACCAGUAUCCUAUUCCCCUGCAUCCAUAAUCCUCUGUGAGACUGGAGACCUGGAGGAUGGCCAGGGAGUGUUCUCUGGACCCAGGAGGAGGACACAGCUCCCGUCAGGGUCCCCUGGGGGAGAUGUAUACAUCAGGGAACGCCAUCGGGACUCAGACUUCCAGUAGCUUCCAAAUGUUCCCAUUCCAACAUUCCCGAUCCCAAGGGAGGGUGAGGAGGGUCUCUUUCAGGUCCUCCUUACGUGCCAGACUGAGGCGUCUCCGCUACAGGUUGGACUCAGGAGAGGCCAGCGGAGAGAGGCGGACUCUGAGACUCCCGGUCUGCUCCAGGGUGUUCUUCUGGUCGACCUCCCCACCUUACGACAGGUUCCCCAGGAUAGACGUGUCAGAGAGACCACAGGUUUCCCCUGUCUAGGUAGAAGAGAAUGACAAUUAAGAAAUACAAGUCUGACUGCACAGAAUGUAUCCUGCUACUUAUAAUACAAC